This 443-nucleotide ribosomal RNA is filed under the name uncultured Clostridia bacterium. RNAcentral's name for it is "bacterial SSU rRNA". It matches the Rfam family "Bacterial small subunit ribosomal RNA", at positions 338 to 795 of the family's 1533-position model. Lineage: Bacteria; Bacillati; Bacillota; Clostridia. The record is from RNAcentral.
CCUACGGGUGGCUGCAGUAGGGAAUAUUGCGCAAUGGGCGAAAGCCUGACGCAGCGACGCCGCGUGGGUGAUGAAGGCCUUCGGGUUGUAAAACCCUGUCCUUGGGGAAGAAGGAAGUGACGGUACCCAAGGAGGAAGCCCCGGCUAACUACGUGCCAGCAGCCGCGGUAAAACGUAGGGGGCGAGCGUUGUCCGGAAUUACUGGGCGUAAAGGGUGCGUAGGCGGCCUUUUAAGUCAGAUGUGAAAGACCACGGCUUAACCGUUAAUGUGCAUUAGAAACUGCGGCUCUUGAGGGCCGGAGGGGUAAACGGAAUUCCCGGUGUAGCGGUAAAAUGCGUAGAUAUCGGGAGGAACACCAGUGGCGAAGGCGGUUUACUGGACGGCAACUGACGCUGAGACACGAAAGCGUGGGGAGCAAACGGGAUUAGAUACCCCGGUAGUC